GCUAUCUGCAGUCGACGGUAAGUUGAGUAGCAAUACUUGACCUAGAGUGACGUACGGGUGCGUAACACGUAUGCAACCUACCCAGAACAGGAGUAUAGCUCGGGGAAACUCGAAUUAAUCCUCCAUAAGAUAGUAGCAGAGCACUCUGUAGCUAUUAAAACUACGGUGGUUUUGGAUGGGCAUGCGUUUGAUUAGCUAGUUGGUAGUGUAAUGGACUACCAAGGCGAUGAUCAAUAGGGGAACUGAGAGGUUGAUCCCCCACACUGGCACUGAGAUACGGGCCAGACUCCUACGGGAGGCAGCAGUAGGGAAUAUUGGUCAAUGGAUGCAAGUCUGAACCAGCCAUGCCGCGUGCAGGAAGAAGGCCUUCUGGGUUGUAAACUGCUUUUGUCAGGGGAUAAAAAAUUCCUUGCGAGGAAUAUUGAAGGUACCUGGCGAAUAAGCCACGGCUAACUACGUGCCAGCAGCCGCGGUAAUACGUAGGUGGCGAGCGCUGUCCGGAUUUAUUGGGUUUAAAGGGUGCGUAGGCGGCCCUAUAAGUCAGUGGUGAAAUAUCGCAGCUUAACUGUGAGGGUGCCAUUGAUACUGUAGGGCUUGAGUGAAUUUGAGGUAGGCGGAAUUGACGGUGUAGCGGUGAAAUGCUUAGAUAUCGUCAAGAACACCGAUAGUGAAGACAGCUUACCAAGCUUCAACUGACGCUGAGGCACGAAAGUGUGGGGAUCAAACAGGAUUAGAUACCCUGGUAGUCCACACUGUAAACGUUGAUUACUCGCUGUUGGCGAUACACAGCCAGCGGCUAAGCGCAAGCGAUAAGUAAUCCACCUGGGGAGUACGCCGGCAACGGUGAAAC
RNAcentral lists this ribosomal RNA (850 nucleotides) under uncultured bacterium. Its description in RNAcentral is "bacterial SSU rRNA". It matches the Rfam family "Bacterial small subunit ribosomal RNA", at positions 50 to 900 of the family's 1533-position model. The record is from RNAcentral.